RNAcentral lists this long non-coding RNA (250 nucleotides) under Capsella rubella. RNAcentral's name for it is "long non-coding RNA (CRUB_LNC003045)". The record is from RNAcentral. Lineage: Eukaryota; Viridiplantae; Streptophyta; Magnoliopsida; Brassicales; Brassicaceae.
UGUGUUUGUAUAGUUAUAGAGAACUGAAAAUUAUAGAGUAUAAACAAUUCUUUUUUUUUAAUUGAAAGAUACAGAAAUGAAAAUUGUACAGAGGGGAAUUACGAAGUAUGAUACGUUUUUUUUUUUUUUUUUUAUAAUAUACAUUUGUAUAUGAAAGUGGUUCUAGAAAGGGUCUUGUGAUAGGGGUCUUCCAUAUGGAUCGUCGUGUUGUGUAUUGUUGUCUUGGAUUAUAUCGUCUUCAUCGUCAGAG